Drosophila simulans is the source of this 431-nucleotide long non-coding RNA. RefSeq lists it as uncharacterized. The transcript has 4 exons. Lineage: Eukaryota; Metazoa; Arthropoda; Insecta; Diptera; Drosophilidae. The record is from RefSeq and is a predicted model, not a curated record.
GCAUCUUUAAUUUAUUCUUAGUUUAUUUACCGUAAUUCGCGAUCGGUACCGGGAAGUGUUUGUUUUUUUUCAUGUGGAAGUGUUUGUGUGAAUGUGUGUUUUAUAAAAUAUGAAAGUAUGCAAUGGAAUGCAUAAGAGCGAAGUGCUAUUUAUUUGCAAUAAGUGUGUAAUAUAUGUUAAUGUUUGUCACAUCAAUUCCUUAAAAUGAAGCGCAAGAUGUGUUCUAUGUCUUCAAAGACGAAACCACUACUAAAAAUCUGUUGUUGCUGUCGUGCAGGAAGCCUCGUCUUGACUUGGCCAAGAGGAAACUGACGAUUAUAGCCCAAGUAAGAGAGGCGACCGGAAGAACUUCAUUGCUUGUCAUCUGCUAGGAGUUUGUUUUUCUUACUCCACCCUUUUGUUUUUCCUGCAGGUAAGUUUUUUUUCUGCUU